This 253-nucleotide ribosomal RNA is filed under the name uncultured bacterium. RNAcentral describes it as "partial 16S ribosomal RNA". It matches the Rfam family "Bacterial small subunit ribosomal RNA", at positions 524 to 776 of the family's 1533-position model. The record is from RNAcentral.
UACGGGGGGGGCAAGCGUUGUUCGGAAUUACUGGGCGUAAAGGGCUCGUAGGCGGCCAACUAAGUCAGACGUGAAAUCCCCAGGCUCAACCUGGGAACUGCGUCUGAUACUGGAUGGCUUGAAUUCGGGAGAGGGAUGCAGAAUUCCAGGUGUAGCGGUGAAAUGUGUAGAGAUCGGGAGGAACACCGGUGGCGAAGGCGGGUCUCUGGGCAAUUCCCGACGCUGAGGCGCGAAAGCGUGGGGAGCAAACGGG